This 429-nucleotide ribosomal RNA is filed under the name Chloroflexota bacterium. Its description in RNAcentral is "Chloroflexi bacterium partial 16S ribosomal RNA". It matches the Rfam family "Bacterial small subunit ribosomal RNA", at positions 355 to 776 of the family's 1533-position model. Lineage: Bacteria; Bacillati; Chloroflexota. The record is from RNAcentral.
UAGGGAAUCUUCGGCAAUGGACGAAAGUCUGACCGAGCAACGCCGCGUGAGUGAAGAAGGUUUUCGGAUCGUAAAACUCUGUUGUUAGAGAAGAACAAGGACGUUAGUAACUGAACGUCCUCUGACGGUAUCUAACCAGAAAGCUACGGCUAACUACGUGACAGCAGCCGCGGUAAUACGUAGGUGGCAAGCGUUGUCCGGAUUUAGUGGGCGUAAAGCGAGCGCAGGCGGUUUCUUAAGUCUGAUGUGAAAGCCCCCGGCUCAACCGGGGAGGGUAAUUGGAAACUGGGAGACUUGAGUGCAGAAGAGGAGAGUGGCAUUCCAUGUGUAGCGGUGAAAUGCGUAGAUAUAUGGAGGAACACCAGUGGAGAAGGCGGCUCUCUGGUCUGUAACUGACGCUGAGGCUCGAUAGCGUGGGGAGCAAACAGG